Non-coding RNA from Vicia faba (fava bean), 204 nucleotides. Lineage: Eukaryota; Viridiplantae; Streptophyta; Magnoliopsida; Fabales; Fabaceae. The record is from the annotation of a GenBank genome assembly.
AUGGCUUUCUCUUAUAGAAUGAUCCUUUUCAGAGUUCUGCUCCUUGUUCUAAUCAUUUUUGUAACAUCUCAACCAGGAGGAGUGGAUUGCAGACCAUUAUUCAUACAUUACUACGAAUGGUCUUCUUGGGGUAAUGGACUUCUCUUGCAAUCUCUUCCAAACGCUCCUGCACCUCCUUCAACCGGAGAUCAUACUCAUCCUUAA